GAUACCAUAGGGGGUAGAGCACUGUUUCGGCUAGGGGGUCAUCCCGACUUACCAAACCGAUGCAAACUCCGAAUACCUAUGAGUACUAUCCGGGAGACAGACUGCGGGUGCUAACGUCCGUAGUCAAGAGGAAAACAAUCCAGACCGCCAGCUAAGGCCCCAAAAUCAUAGUUAAGUGGGAAACGAUGUGGGAAGGCAUAGACAGCUAGGAGGUUGGCUUAGAAGCAGCCACCCUUUAAAGAAAGCGUAAUAGCUCACUAGUCGAGUCGGCCUGCGCGGAAGAUGUAACGGGGCUAAAACUAUGUGCCGAAGCUGCGGAUGUAUACUUUGUAUACGUGGUAGGGGAGCGUUCUGUAAGCCGAUGAAGGUGUGUUGAGAAGCAUGCUGGAGGUAUCAGAAGUGCGAAUGCUGACGUGAGUAACGACAAAACGGGUGAAAAACCCGUUCGCCGAAAGACCAAGGGUUCCAGUCCAACGUUAAUCGGGGCUGGGUGAGUCGACCCCUAAGGCGAGGCCGAAAGGCGUAGUCGAUGGGAAAAUGGUUAAUAUUCCAUUACUUCUGUGUAAUGCGAUGAGAGGACGGAGAAGGCUAAAUCAGCCUGGCGUUGGUUGUCCAGGUGAAAGGAUGUAGGCAUGUAUCUUAGGCAAAUCCGGGGUACUCUAUGCUGAGAUCUGAUAGCAAGCUGUACUUGUACAGCGAAGUGGUUGAUGCCAUGCUUCCAGGAAAAGUCUCUA
Molecule: ribosomal RNA, 734 nt
Filed under: Acinetobacter baumannii
Lineage: Bacteria; Pseudomonadati; Pseudomonadota; Gammaproteobacteria; Moraxellales; Moraxellaceae
Description: partial 23S ribosomal RNA
Rfam family: Bacterial large subunit ribosomal RNA
Source: RNAcentral